This 759-nucleotide ribosomal RNA is filed under the name uncultured Comamonadaceae bacterium. RNAcentral's name for it is "bacterial SSU rRNA". It matches the Rfam family "Bacterial small subunit ribosomal RNA", at positions 57 to 818 of the family's 1533-position model. Lineage: Bacteria; Pseudomonadati; Pseudomonadota; Betaproteobacteria; Burkholderiales; Comamonadaceae. The record is from RNAcentral.
GCAAGUCGAACGGUAACGGGUUAUGCCGACGAGUGGCGAACGGGUGAGCCAUAUAUCCCAACCUGCCCAGUCGUGGGGGAUAACGUAAAGAAAUUUACGCUAAUACCGCAUACCAUCUAAGGAUGAAAGCGGGGGAUCGCAAGACCUCGCGCGAUUGGAGCGGUUGAUAUCAGAUUAGGUUGUUGGAGAGGUAAAAGCUCCCCAAGCCGACCAUCUGUAGCUGGUUUGAGAGAACGACCAGCCACACUGGCACUGAUACACGGCCCAGACUCCUACGGGAGGCAACAGUGGGGAAUUUUGGACAAUGGGCGAAAGCCUGAUCCAGCAAUGCCGCGUGCAGGAAGAAGGCCUUCGGGUUGUAAACUGCUUUUGUACGGAACGAAAAAGUCUGCCCUAAUACGGUGGGCUCAUGACGGGACCGUACGAAUAAGAACCGGCUAACUACGUGCCAGCAGCCGCGGUAAUACGUAAGGUGCGAGCGUUAAUCUGAAUUACUGGGCGGAAAGCGUGCGCAGGCGGUUAUAUAAGACAAUUGUGAAAUCCCCGGGCUCAACCUGGGAAUUGCAUCUGUGACUGUAUAGCUAGAGUACGGUAGAGGGGGAUGGAAUUCCGCGUGUAGCGGUGAAAUGCGUAGAUAUGCUGAGGAACACCGAUGGCGAAGGCAAUCCCCUGCACCUGUACUGACGCUCAUGCGCGAAAGCGAGGCGAGCAAACAGGAUUAGAUACCCUGCUCGGCCACGCCCUAAACGAUGUCAACUG